Small nuclear RNA from Prolemur simus (greater bamboo lemur), 104 nucleotides. NCBI's taxonomy places the organism in Eukaryota, Metazoa, Chordata, Mammalia, Primates, Lemuridae. The record is from Ensembl.
GUGCUCACUUCGCAGCACACACACUAAACACUGGAACAGCACAGAGAUCAGCAUGGCCCCUGCACGAGGAUGACAUGCAAAUUCUUGAAGCGUUCCAUUAAAAA